UCCGAGUUGACCCCGGCAGUCUCCCAUGAGUCCCCGCCAUUACGCGCUGGCAACAUGGAACGAGGGUUGCGCUCGUUGCGGGACUUAACCCAACAUCUCACGACACGAGCUGACGACAACCAUGCACCACCUGUGAACCGGCCGCAAGCGGGGCACCUGUUUCCAGGUGUUUCCGGUCCAUGUCAAGCCUUGGUAAGGUUCUUCGCGUUGCAUCGAAUUAAUCCGCAUGCUCCGCCGCUUGUGCGGGCCCCCGUCAAUUCCUUUGAGUUUUAACCUUGCGGCCGUAGUCCCCAGGCGGUGAACUUAAUGCGUUAGCUGCGGCACUGAUCGGGUCAAUCCGACCAACACCUAGUUCACAACGUUUAGGGCGUGGACUAC
This 378-nucleotide unclassified non-coding RNA is filed under the name uncultured Micrococcales bacterium. RNAcentral's name for it is "contains 16S-23S intergenic spacer region". Lineage: Bacteria; Bacillati; Actinomycetota; Actinomycetes; Micrococcales. The record is from RNAcentral.